ACUUUUUUCCUUGCCUUUCCUACAUGGAAUUCUACAAAGAUUCCUCUACAAUUAAUGCAGCAGCAAAAGUAAGAAAAUGGACAGAAAAGGUUUAAAGUUGGAAAGCCAUUAUUCUCAAACUUCUCUCAAGUGGUAAAAUAUGAUUCAGAGAUGCACAGAAGUGAAAAGCAGAUGUCAAACUUAAAAGCCUAAAUACAUAAGUACCUACAGCUCUACAAGUGAAGAAAUCUGACCGCACGCUUUCGUGGGUGCCGACCCCGGCGCUGUGCCUGUGGUGGAGGUGUUGUGUCACCAGCCUGAGCAGAGCCAGCCCCUGCCUCCCUGCAGCUGCCUCUCAUCUCUCCACUCUGCUCAGAGCAGCCAGAAGCACCAGCUGGUGAAGGAAAGGAUGCUGAGACAGCCCCCCUGAGCUGGUGUCCAUCCCUCCCUCACCGUGUGGCCUUACCCGCUCUGCAGCACUCAUCUCACAGCUCCAUCACCUUUCCUCAGGAUUUUACUGCUCUGGCAGCUAACUGGGUUAAGGUUACCCAUGAGGUUUCUGAUGAAGUGUGAAGGAAGUGAGGACACACAUGCCACUGCUGUUGUGGUGGUGCUUUCUUGUUCAUUGAUUCCUGUGGCUCCUGUACAUUGGUGAAGAUGCUGAGAGCAGCUGGAGGAAUGAGGGCAUUUUGUCUGUCCCAUGCUGUAGAAGGCCUAAUUCUUAAUUACUAAUUAAUUCUUGAUGAGUCUUUUGUUAGCCUUGACAAAUUCAACAGUCACAUUAAUGAUAUCUCUCCAAACUGGAAUUUGUUUCAAUUGUGUUUUAUUUUUAAGAAGAUGAGUGAACCCACAAGAAUUCCCUCUGCAGGAUACAUCUUCAGUCAUUUCACCACUCCUAAGAGUAAACUAACUCCCUGCUGAGUUAUUCAUGACCCUUCUCAGCCAGGCUGAUGUGAUCUGAUCACUUCCUGAGGCUGUUGUGAGGAAUAAACCAAGCAUCUCCCUUCA
This is a non-coding RNA of Cyanistes caeruleus (blue tit), 987 nucleotides long. Lineage: Eukaryota; Metazoa; Chordata; Aves; Passeriformes; Paridae. The record is from RefSeq and is a predicted model, not a curated record.